GUCCUGUUAGCUCAAUUGGAUAGAGCAAGAUGUUUCUACCGUCUAGGUUAUAGGUUCGAAUCCUAUACGGGAUG
RNAcentral lists this transfer RNA (74 nucleotides) under Vibrio phage JA-1. It matches the Rfam family "tRNA". Rfam says of the family: Transfer RNA (tRNA) molecules are approximately 80 nucleotides in length. Their secondary structure includes four short double-helical elements and three loops (D, anti-codon, and T loops). Lineage: Duplodnaviria; Heunggongvirae; Uroviricota; Caudoviricetes; Schitoviridae. The record is from Rfam by way of RNAcentral.